GACGAACGCUGGCGGCGGGCCUAAUACAUGCAAGUAGGACGCAGUUGCGAACGGGUGAGUAACGAGUAGGGAAAUACAUAUGAGAGGGGGAUAACAAUUGGAAACGAUAGCUAAUACCGCAUACUAGUAGAUGGACCUGCGUUGUAUUAGAUAGUAGGUAGGGUAAUGGCCUACCUAGGCAACGAUACAUGACCGGCCUGAGAGUGUGAUCGGCCAAACUUGGACUGAGACACGGCCCAGGCCCCCACGGGAGGCAGCAGUAUGGAAUCUUCGGCAAUGGGGGGAACCCUGACCGAGACCCGCCGCGUGAGUGAAGAAGGUCUUCGGAUCGUAAAGCUCUUUUGUUAAGGAAGCGGUACUUAACCAGAAAGGGACGGCUAACUACGUGCCAGCAGCCGCGGUAAUUC
This 407-nucleotide ribosomal RNA is filed under the name uncultured bacterium. Its description in RNAcentral is "partial 16S ribosomal RNA". It matches the Rfam family "Bacterial small subunit ribosomal RNA", at positions 28 to 526 of the family's 1533-position model. The record is from RNAcentral.